This 3102-nucleotide long non-coding RNA is filed under the name Oreochromis niloticus (Nile tilapia). Its description in RNAcentral is "lncRNA (ENSONIG00000034138.1)". The record is from RNAcentral. Lineage: Eukaryota; Metazoa; Chordata; Actinopteri; Cichliformes; Cichlidae.
CUCGCACAAGGACUCACAUUAUUACUUUAAUAUAUACAUAAAAAGUCAAUAAAUGCUAUUAUUUGAAGUAUUACUACAUAAAUAAAUACAUUACUGUAAAACUGUUAAUAUUUUCUAAAAGAGUUUUUGGGCACAACAAGCGAGAAGCAAUUAUUGAAAAUGACUCAGAAGAAGAUCAAGUCAGAUGUCGUAACUGACCUCAAAACCAGAUACAGUUGCAACACCUGAGUGGUUGGUGUAGUGGAGACAGUCUUUGAAUAACAGUGUUUCAACCAUUCCCUAUCUCCUUAACUGCACCUCUCAUCCGCACCCUCGUUUCCUCAUUAGACAAGUACAAGUCGCUGUAAAUAUGCAGCUGUUGAACAUUUAUAGCUGGUGGAAAUACUCAGCAGCAAGGAUACUCACAAAUACUCCAUGUAGGGAACAUGUUACUCCAGAAUUAUACUGUUUAUUUAAUGAGCAAUUCAAUUUUAGAUUAUAUUGAUUAAUUUUAAAUCACUACAUGGUAUGGAUGCAUAGGGCGGCAGAAAGGGCGGAGGGUCAUGUUUGAUUCUUAGUAGGUGAAAACACAAUUCCUCUGUUUGCAGGAUCCCAUUAACUCAGGUGAAUUUUCACUUGAGUAGGUCAUUAAGUAACGGCAGGUAGUGGACUCAUGAGGAAUAAGUGUGUCUGCUGAAGAGCAGGACGCAAGCACAAUCUACUAGUGGGCGGAGUCAAAGGCAGGAUCUACUCGUCUCCCGUGAGAGCAAGGGAAAUUAUUAGAGAGUACAUGUGAGAAAUAUGCAAAAAGCGGGAAAGAAAAACCAACAGGAAAUACGUUUUCACACCACUGUAUGGUCCAGUGACAUUGGAGAGUUUACAGUUGAGUGCUUGACGGAUGUGGGGGGUGUUGAAAGAGGAAGCGCAGCUUGUCAUCACUGUGCUGCUGCUACCAGAAACUGCAGAAGAAUGAAGACAGACGGACCACAGAAGGUAACACAGAAACACAGCAGAUAAAACACAUUAUUAUUAUUAUCAUUAUUAUUAUUAUUAUUUACAAUUAAGGCUGUAUAACAUCGAUAUGUAAAGGAUAUUUUUUAUCUGAUGAGAUGUUGGAACAAAAAAAAAUCCAAAUCAUGAUUUCACUGGUUUGUACAUUUCUCUGGUGGCUCAAUGGUGUAAUGCUUAAACGAAAGAUCCCCAGUUUGAUUUUGGGGUUGUGUCCAAAAGGGGAACUGGCAUAAAAAGCUGGCCUAAUCAAACAAAUGAGCAGCUGAAAGCAGUUUCAUCCUCUACAUCUAUCUAAAAGUUUAAGAUUUUACCUGCAAAAGACGUGAGCAGCUCCUAAAAAUGAAAUGCUGCUCCUUAAACCGCUAAAGAAUGGAUAUAUAUAAAAAUAAAAAAAUCUGCACCUCAACUAAGAGAUUGAAAAAAAAAAACUAUCACAGGCAUUAAUAAAUACAUUAUUAAUGACGGUCCAACGAUAUAACUCUCUGACAGGAUUUAUAACUCUUACUUUUACUGCUGCUUUAAGUGCAAUAAGGUGCUUAUGAUUUAAAAAAAAAAAUCACAAUUAGGAUUUUUAUAUGGUUUUAUUUCUGCUUAUUCAAAGACUGUAUUAAUUUAAUCGUAAGUCUAUGGAAAUAUUCUAAACUGCUUGCUUGAAAGUACCAAAUGUAUUUAGUGCCAAAAAGUAAGUAAAGUACUUUAUGUCUGGGUAUCUGUUGGCAACUGAGGGAAGUAAGUAAUGGGAUAAGAAUUACACAGUAAAAGUGUACAAAUUCAUCAUUUGGAUACAAACAGGAGGAAAGCGAAGGAAAAACUUAAAUUUUGAUUUAAUUUUGAUUUUGAUUUAUUCAUAAAACACACAGAUGGGCCAGAUAAAGAAAAAGACACUUCAGAUGUAGAUUACAGUGUCAGAACGUAUUAAAUAUUACGACAUAAAGUAAUACAUUCAGGAUUCAGAGCUUACAUUUGUCCCAGGUUUAAUUUUUAGUAGAGAAAUUAAAAUAAGGGUCUGCGAUAGUGAGAAUGAAAGAUUAAUAUGAAAAAGCAAUCAUUAAAUCAAAUGUACAGAAUUAAGAUAAGCGUUGGUGUACUGUUUGUUGUAGUCGUUGACAGCUAUUUGUAGGCGAAUAUGUACAUAUCCAAAUAUUCAGUGAGAAGGCUUGACAUAAGCUUCAUUUAGUUAAAAACAGUAAAGACAGCCGUCCUACAUCAUUAGAAAAAAGUUCCUUAAAAAAAACUUUACGUUGAGUUUUGAGAGUCAGGAAGUCAAAAUGAGAAGGUCCCUAUAUGCUAUAUUCAUAUUGGAGUCCAUUAAAAACCUUUUAAUCUGCUCUGAAAACCAAUGCAAGCUUUUGCUGCCAGAUUUAUAAACACUGCAAGAUUUUUCCAGCAUUUUCCUCUAGCAUAUGUUCACUCCAUUGCUCAUGGCAAUAGAUCCAAGUUUUUCCUUCAUGGGGAUUUUUGGCGCGCCAAUGUGAAAUUUGUUGCCGCUGUAAUAUUAAAUUUUUUAUUAUUGUGGUUUAAAUGACUCAAUCACAGUUGGAUUUUUCUUUAUCAGAUGAGAAGUGAAUGCACAGAUUUCAUUAAGAUAACAAGCAUUUUCACUCUACUGUGUGUGGACCAAAGGCGUUAAGUGAAUAACAGCAAAUAGAGCGAUGUUUGGCAUCAUCCAAAUACCAAACACGUCCACGUUUCUCUGCAGCAGGACACAAAAUCUUUACAAAUAGCAACAAAGAUUAAUCAGCGCUCAGAGAAAGAGUACGUGCUGCAGGGGGGCUGUGAUGGAAAAACUGCCGCCCGCUGGAAAGAGACUUUCCAAUGAGACUACAACUUGAGAUGUGAAACCAAAGCAUUUCACAAUGGAUGGAAAUAAUAAACUAUGAUGGAGAAUGCAUAACUCAUGUUCAAACCCAGCACUGACAUGCUGAUGAUAUUUAAAGGUGUCAAAUAUUUACAUAUUUAUACAUCCCUUUCCAAAACGCUGCAUUAAAUGUUACUUAGAUCCCACACAUAGAGUUCACUCUGACUAAAUGUGUGAAUUUUGCCUAAUUACCACUGACAAUUAUAACCUGUGCGCUUAAGUUUGCUCAUUGUAAACUUAAACGCAUUACUUCA